Molecule: unclassified non-coding RNA, 221 nt
Filed under: soil metagenome
Description: partial contains 5.8S ribosomal RNA, internal transcribed spacer 2, and large subunit ribosomal RNA
Source: RNAcentral
AACCUUAUGGACCUGCGGGCGUAUACCUGCGGAAGGAUCAUUACAGAGUUCAUGCCCUCACGGGUAGAUCUCCCACCCUUGAAUACUAUACCUUUGUUGCUUUGGCGGGCCGCUUUGGCUACUGGCUCUGGCUAGUAAGUGCCCGCCAAAGAACCCCAAAACUCUGAAUAUUAGUGUCGUCUGAGUACUAUAUAAUAGUUAAAACUUUCAACAAUGGAUCU